Molecule: ribosomal RNA, 253 nt
Filed under: uncultured bacterium
Lineage: Bacteria
Description: partial 16S ribosomal RNA
Rfam family: Bacterial small subunit ribosomal RNA
Source: RNAcentral
UACGUAGGGAGCAAGCGUUGUCCGGAAUCAUUGGGCGUAAAGAGCGUGUAGGCGGCCAGGUAGGUCGGUUGUGAAAACUGGAGGCUCAACCUUCAGAGGUCGACCGAAACCAUCUGGCUAGAGUCCGGGAGAGGAGAGUGGAAUUCCUGGUGUAGCGGUGAAAUGCGCAGAUAUCAGGAAGAACACCCGUGGCGAAAGCGGCUCUCUGGAACGGUACUGACGCUGAGACGCGAAAGCGUGGGGAGCGAACGGG